Molecule: ribosomal RNA, 1613 nt
Filed under: Escherichia coli
Lineage: Bacteria; Pseudomonadati; Pseudomonadota; Gammaproteobacteria; Enterobacterales; Enterobacteriaceae
Description: partial 23S ribosomal RNA
Rfam family: Bacterial large subunit ribosomal RNA
Source: RNAcentral
GGGUUGUGAGGUUAAGCGACUAAGCGUACACGGUGGAUGCCCUGGCAGUCAGAGGCGAUGAAGGACGUGCUAAUCUGCGAUAAGCGUCGGUGAGGUGAUAUGAACCGUUAUAACCGGCGAUUUCCGAAUGGGGAAACCCAGUGUGUUUCGACACACUAUCAUUAACUGAAUCCAUAGGUUAAUGAGGCGAACCGGGGGAACUGAAACAUCUAAGUACCCCGAGGAAAAGAAAUCAACCGAGAUUCCCCCAGUAGCGGCGAGCGAACGGGGAGGAGCCCAGAGCCUGAAUCAGUGUGUGUGUUAGUGGAAGCGUCUGGAAAGGCGUGCGAUACAGGGUGACAGCCCCGUACACAAAAAUGCACAUAUUGUGAGCUCGAUGAGUAGGGCGGGACACGUGGUAUCCUGUCUGAAUAUGGGGGGACCAUCCUCCAAGGCUAAAUACUCCUGACUGACCGAUAGUGAACCAGUACCGUGAGGGAAAGGCGAAAAGAACCCCGGCGAGGGGAGUGAAAAAGAACCUGAAACCGUGUACGUACAAGCAGUGGGAGCCUCUUAAUGGGGUGACUGCGUACCUUUUGUAUAAUGGGUCAGCGACUUAUAUUCUGUAGCAAGGUUAACCGAAUAGGGGAGCCGAAGGGAAACCGAGUCUUAACUGGGCGUUAAGUUGCAGGGUAUAGACCCGAAACCCGGUGAUCUAGCCAUGGGCAGGUUGAAGGUUGGGUAACACUAACUGGAGGACCGAACCGACUAAUGUUGAAAAAUUAGCGGAUGACUUGUGGCUGGGGGUGAAAGGCCAAUCAAACCGGGAGAUAGCUGGUUCUCCCCGAAAGCUAUUUAGGUAGCGCCUCGUGAAUUCAUCUCCGGGGGUAGAGCACUGUUUCGGCAAGGGGGUCAUCCCGACUUACCAACCCGAUGCAAACUGCGAAUACCGGAGAAUGUUAUCACGGGAGACACACGGCGGGUGCUAACGUCCGUCGUGAAGAGGGAAACAACCCAGACCGCCAGCUAAGGUCCCAAAGUCAUGGUUAAGUGGGAAACGAUGUGGGAAGGCCCAGACAGCCAGGAUGUUGGCUUAGAAGCAGCCAUCAUUUAAAGAAAGCGUAAUAGCUCACUGGUCGAGUCGGCCUGCGCGGAAGAUGUAACGGGGCUAAACCAUGCACCGAAGCUGCGGCAGCGACACUAUGUGUUGUUGGGUAGGGGAGCGUUCUGUAAGCCUGUGAAGGUGGCCUGUGAGGGUUGCUGGAGGUAUCAGAAGUGCGAAUGCUGACAUAAGUAACGAUAAAGCGGGUGAAAAGCCCGCUCGCCGGAAGACCAAGGGUUCCUGUCCAACGUUAAUCGGGGCAGGGUGAGUCGACCCCUAAGGCGAGGCCGAAAGGCGUAGUCGAUGGGAAACAGGUUAAUAUUCCUGUACUUGGUGUUACUGCGAAGGGGGGACGGAGAAGGCUAUGUUGGCCGGGCGACGGUUGUCCCGGUUUAAGCGUGUAGGCUGGUUUUCCAGGCAAAUCCGGAAAACCAAGGCUGAGGCGUGAUGACGAGGCACUACGGUGCUGAAGCGACAAAUGCCCUGCUUCCAGGAAAAGCCUCUAAGCAUCAGGUAACAUCAAAUCGUACCC